This 386-nucleotide long non-coding RNA is filed under the name Rattus norvegicus (Norway rat). Its description in RNAcentral is "long non-coding RNA NONRATT027114". The record is from RNAcentral. Lineage: Eukaryota; Metazoa; Chordata; Mammalia; Rodentia; Muridae.
GUCCCACAUGAAGGGCCGACACUAACUGUGAGAAGCUCUGCAUGAGAAUAGUCUGGGCUGUAGCCUGUGUGCUGCCAGUGCUAGUGGAGCGGCUUCUGUUGAUUCAAGACACCCUGGGCUACACCGGACUCCAUUUCAACUUCUCCACACUUCCCCGCAGAAGAAGGCUUUGCCGUUGAGUUUGAUGUUCAUUCUCGGCCAGCCCGCCACUCACUGCAAGAGAUUCUCUCAGGGAGCCUGCUGCGGCUGGGAACCAUGACAGUGAGGGGGGCUGCGCUGGCCCCAGACCCAGCAUCACCCACAACCACAGCAGCUUCACCUAGUGUCUCUGCCACCCCCGAGGGCAGUCCCACAGCCAUGGAGCACCCCGUGUUUCUGAUGACCAC